RNAcentral lists this ribosomal RNA (705 nucleotides) under uncultured bacterium. RNAcentral describes it as "bacterial SSU rRNA". It matches the Rfam family "Bacterial small subunit ribosomal RNA", at positions 55 to 774 of the family's 1533-position model. The record is from RNAcentral.
AUGCAGUCGAACGAGCGAGAGAGAGCUUGCUUUCUCGAGCGAGUGGCGAACGGGUGAGUAACGCGUGAGGAACCUGCCUCAAAGAGGGGGACAACAGUUGGAAACGACUGCUAAUACCGCAUAAGCCCACGGGUCGGCAUCGACCAGAGGGAAAAGGAGCAAUCCGCUUUGAGAUGGCCUCGCGUCCGAUUAGCUAGUUGGUGAGGUAACGGCCCACCAAGGCAACGAUCGGUAGCCGGACUGAGAGGUUGAACGGCCACAUUGGGACUGAGACACGGCCCAGACUCCUACGGGAGGCAGCAGUGGGGAAUAUUGCACAAUGGGGGAAACCCUGAUGCAGCGACGCCGCGUGGAGGAAGAAGGUCUUCGGAUUGUAAACUCCUGUUGUUGGGGAAGAUAAUGACGGUACCCAACAAGGAAGUGACGGCUAACUACGUGCCAGCAGCCGCGGUAAAACGUAGGUCACAAGCGUUGUCCGAAAUUACUGGGUGUAAAGGGAGCGCAGGCGGGAAGACAAGUUGGAAGUGAAAUCUAUGGGCUCAACCCAUAAACUGCUUUCAAAACUGUUUUUCUUGAGUAGUGCAGAGGUAGGCGGAAUUCCCGGUGUAGCGGUGGAAUGCGUAGAUAUCGGGAGGAACACCAGUGGCGAAGGCGGCCUACUGGGCACCAACUGACGCUGAGGCUCGAAAGUGUGGGUAGCAAACA